UGCUCCAGGUUGCCCAUACCUAGCUAGGUAAAGGGAUCCUUUGUGAUUCCUAAAUACUCCUCCUCUCCUUAUCUGUAGAUUUUGUUCUAGUGGAAUGGUGAUAAAUUGAUUGCAAUUUUAAAGUUUUGGAGUAUGUGCUUAUUUAUUAAGUUUACUAAUAGAAGUCACAGUGUUCAAAGCAGACUGGUCACCAGAAUCUUCCAGCUAGGGAUAUUGGAAAAGAACUCCAGUUCUAUUUUGUUAAUUUUGAGAACUGGGGCUAUGACUGAGAAAGGUGGCCAGGGGCAUUUGUAUGGGGCUGGUAGAGGUAAAAUUCUUGGGUGGUGUAAGAUGAACUAUAGUAAAAGAAUUUGCCAAGAACUUUGUCAUUAAUUAAAUAAAAACCAGAGGUUCAAAGAUGAUCAGAUAGUUCUGACCAUAAACGAUGUCAACUAGGGAUCUAGGGUGUUGUUUCUAUGACCUGCAGGGAAGCUUCAGGAAAAUCAAAGUCUUUGGUGCUG
Alligator mississippiensis (American alligator) is the source of this 500-nucleotide ribosomal RNA. It matches the Rfam family "Eukaryotic small subunit ribosomal RNA", at positions 611 to 1116 of the family's 1831-position model. Lineage: Eukaryota; Metazoa; Chordata; Crocodylia; Alligatoridae. The record is from Rfam.